GAUGAACGCUGGCGGCGUGCCUAAUACAUGCAAGUCGAGCGAACAGAUGAGGAGCUUGCUCCUCUGACGUUAGCGGCGGACGGGUGAGUAACACGUGGAUAACCUACCUAUAAGACUGGGAUAACUUCGGGAAACCGGAGCUAAUACCGGAUAAUAUAUUGAACCGCAUGGUUCAAUAGUGAAAGACAGUUUUGCUGUCACUUAUAGAUGGAUCCGCGCCGCAUUAGCUAGUUGGUAAGGUAACGGCUUACCAAGGCGACGAUGCGUAGCCGACCUGAGAGGGUGAUCGGCCACACUGGAACUGAGACACGGUCCAGACUCCUACGGGAGGCAGCAGUAGGGAAUAUUCCGCAAUGGGCGCAAGCCUGACGGAGCAACGCCGCGUGAGUGAUGAAGGUCUUCGGAUCGUAAAACUCUGUUAUUAGGGAAGAACAAAUGUGUAAGUAACUCUGCACGUCUUGACGGUACCUAAUGAGAAAGCCACGGCUAACUACGUG
This 497-nucleotide ribosomal RNA is filed under the name uncultured bacterium. RNAcentral describes it as "partial 16S ribosomal RNA". It matches the Rfam family "Bacterial small subunit ribosomal RNA", at positions 28 to 507 of the family's 1533-position model. The record is from RNAcentral.